AGUUUGAAACCCUAAAUUUAUUUUUCUCUUCUCCAGAUUCCAGAAAUCAUAGUGAGAGGCUGAAGCUGAGAGCAAUAGCCAAUAGAGCAUCGAGCUUCUUGCCUUCUUCUUCUCCAACACCUACUCGUUCUUGCCACCGUCCUCCGUCCGAGAGCAGCUGAGCAGCGCUUCGCCAUCAACGUCCUCUGUCCGAGCGCAGAACCUAGCCUCCGUCUUCCGUCCUCCUUCCUUCGUCGCUGUGUAUCUGUCACCAUCGCCGUGAGUCCAUCGCCGUACCCUUCGUCCGAGAGCAGCUGAGCAGAAUUUUGCCAACGUCAUCCUCCGUCCAAGCGCAGAACUUACCCGACGUCCUCUGUCCUCCGUCCUCCGUCCUUCGUCGCCAUGAGUCUGUCGCCGUUGCCUUGUUUUGGAGAAUGAGCUGUAUUCCUUUUCAAAGAAACAAAGUAGUUUUUGAAGAGUCAAUGAAGUUUGUUUCUACUGGAAGUUACUAUUUGGAAGUUACUAUUUGCAUCGGAAUCGACCCUCGUCCAGUCGUCCGCGCCUCUCCUGGUCCCGAAACGCACCACCUCCACCAGAUUCUCCCCGCAUAGCAUCAGUUUAAAUCUUGAUUUGCAAACUUUUAAUGAUGAUGAAGAUAUUGAAAGUGAUCAAGAAUAAGGGUUGAAAAUCAUUUUAUAUCUAAUAUUGUAAUUUCUUUAUUAUGGUGUUAAAUUUGUAGUGAUCUAACAAUAUUUUUUUUUUAAUUUCAAGUUAUUUUAGCUAAUGACAUUGUAU
Molecule: long non-coding RNA, 774 nt
Organism: Arachis stenosperma
Lineage: Eukaryota; Viridiplantae; Streptophyta; Magnoliopsida; Fabales; Fabaceae
Exons: 3
Source: RefSeq, a predicted model, not a curated record